Molecule: transfer RNA, 72 nt
Filed under: Camelus bactrianus (Bactrian camel)
Lineage: Eukaryota; Metazoa; Chordata; Mammalia; Artiodactyla; Camelidae
Also listed under: 2 other names
Rfam family: tRNA
About the family: Transfer RNA (tRNA) molecules are approximately 80 nucleotides in length. Their secondary structure includes four short double-helical elements and three loops (D, anti-codon, and T loops). Further hydrogen bonds mediate the characteristic L-shaped molecular structure. tRNAs have two regions of fundamental functional importance: the anti-codon, which is responsible for specific mRNA codon recognition, and the 3' end, to which the tRNAs corresponding amino acid is attached (by aminoacyl-tRNA synthetases). tRNAs cope with the degeneracy of the genetic code in two manners: having more than one tRNA (with a specific anti-codon) for a particular amino acid; and 'wobble' base-pairing, i.e. permitting non-standard base-pairing at the 3rd anti-codon position.
Source: Rfam by way of RNAcentral
GAGGGUAUAGCUCAGUGGCAAAGUGCAUAACUAGCAUGCACAAAGUCCUGGGUUCAAUCCCCAGUGCCUCCA